Molecule: ribosomal RNA, 442 nt
Filed under: uncultured bacterium
Lineage: Bacteria
Description: partial 16S ribosomal RNA
Rfam family: Bacterial small subunit ribosomal RNA
Source: RNAcentral
CCUACGGGCGGCAGCAGUAGGGAAUCUUUCACAAUGGGCGAAAGCCUGAUGGAGCAACGCCGCGUGCAGGAUGAAGGCCUUCGGGUUGUAAACUGCUUUUAUAAGCGAGAAAUAUGAUGGUAACUUAUGAAUAAGGAUCGGCUAACUACGUGCCAGCAGCCGCGGUCAUACGUAGGAUCCGAGCAUUAUCCGGAGUGACUGGGUGUAAAGAGUUGCGUAGGUGGCAUAAUAAGUAGCUAGUGAAAUCUGGUGGCUCAACCAUUCAGACUAUUAGCGAAACUGUUAAGCUCGAGACCGUUAGGGGUAACUGGAAUUUCUAGUGUAGGAGUGAAAUCCGUAGAUAUUAGAAGGAACACCAAUAGCGUAGGCAGGUUGCUGGGACGGUUCUGACACUAAGGCACGAAAGCGUAGGGAGCAAACGGGAUUAGAUACCCGAGUAGUC